GAGGGACAUGUCGGAUUACUGGGCGUAAGGGCGCGUAGGCGGGUUAGCAAGUCAGAUGUGAAAGCCCCGGGCUUAACUCGGGAAUUGCAUCUGAAACUGCUUUUCUUGAGUCCUGGAGGGGGUAGUGGAAUUCCCAGUGUAGCGGUGAAAUGCGUAGAUAUUGGGAGGAACACCUGCGGCGAAGGCGGCUACCUGGACAGUGACUGACGCUGAGGCGCGAAAGCUAGGGGAGCGAACGGGAUUAGAUACCCCGGUAGUCCUAGCCAUAAACGAUGGGCACUUGGUGUUGGGGGUAUUGAGUCCCCCGGUGCCGGAGUUAACACGUUAAGUGCCCCGCCUGGGGAGUACGGUCGCAAGACUGAAACUCAAAGGAAUUGACGGGGGCCCGCACAAGCGGUGGAGCAUGUGGUUCAAUUCGACGCAACGCGAAGAACCUUACCGGGGCUCGAACGGUGACUGCAAUCCUUGGAAACAGGGCGUUCUCUUCGGAGACGGUUACCGAGGUGCUGCAUGGCUGUCGUCAGCUCGUGUCGUGAGAUGUUGGGUUAAGUCCCGCAACGAGCGCAACCCUUGCCCUUAGUUGCUACCAGGUCAAGCUGAGCACCCUAAGGGAACUGUCGGCGAAAAGCCGGAGGAAGGUGGGGAUGACGUCAAGUCCUCAUGGCCCUUACGUCCCGGGCUACACACGUGCUACAAUGGUAGGUACAAAGGGUUGCCAACCUGCGAGGGGGAGCUAAUCCCAAAAAACCUAUCUCAGUUCGGAUUGCAGUCUGCAACUCGACUGCAUGAAGUCGGAAUCGCUAGUAAUCGCAGAUCAGCACGCUGCGGUGAAUACGUUCCCGGGCCUUGUACACACCGCCCGUCACAUCACGAAAGCCGGCUGUACUAGAAGUCGUUGAGCUAACCCUGCGCAAGCAGGGGAGCAUACGCCCAAGGUAUGGCUGGUGAUUGGGGUGAAGUCGUAACAAGGUAACCAAGACUGG
RNAcentral lists this ribosomal RNA (983 nucleotides) under uncultured bacterium. Its description in RNAcentral is "bacterial SSU rRNA". It matches the Rfam family "Bacterial small subunit ribosomal RNA", at positions 536 to 1509 of the family's 1533-position model. The record is from RNAcentral.